RNAcentral lists this transfer RNA (74 nucleotides) under Actinomycetota bacterium. Its description in RNAcentral is "tRNA-Pro". It matches the Rfam family "tRNA". From Rfam's summary of the family: Transfer RNA (tRNA) molecules are approximately 80 nucleotides in length. Their secondary structure includes four short double-helical elements and three loops (D, anti-codon, and T loops). Lineage: Bacteria; Bacillati; Actinomycetota. The record is from RNAcentral.
CGGGACGUGGCGCAGUCUGGUAGCGCACUCGCUUUGGGAGCGAGGGGCCGCCGGUUCGAAUCCGGCCGUCCCGA